RNAcentral lists this ribosomal RNA (253 nucleotides) under uncultured bacterium. Its description in RNAcentral is "partial 16S ribosomal RNA". It matches the Rfam family "Bacterial small subunit ribosomal RNA", at positions 524 to 776 of the family's 1533-position model. The record is from RNAcentral.
GACGAAGGGGGCUAGCGUUGUUCGGAAUUACUGGGCGUAAAGCGAGUGUAGGCGGUUGCCACAGUCAGGUGUGAAAGCCUUGAGCUCAACUCAAGAAAUGCACUUGAUACUGGGCGGCUAGAGGACCGGAGAGGAUAGUGGAAUUCCCAGUGUAGUGGUGAAAUACGUAGAGAUUGGGAAGAACACCAGUGGCGAAGGCGGCUAUCUGGACGGUUACUGACGCUAAGACUCGAAAGCGUGGGGAGCAAACAGG